GGUUAAGUCGUAACAAGGUAUCCCUACGAGAACGUGGGGAUGGAUCACCUCCUUUCUACGGAGUACAAAAUACUUUAUUACUUAAUUUACUAUUGGAGUAAAUUAAAUUCUUAACUUUAUUAAUCAGACCUAUUAACCAAUUUGUCAUGGCUUUCAGGUCAAAAGCUUUAUAUCUAGUUUUGAGAGAACAUUCUCUCAAUUGUUCUUUGAAAACUGAAUAGUAAGAUAUUUUAAAAAUAUUUACAACGACAUCUUAACAAAUAUAAAUGUCAAUUUGUUUUGAUCAUCGAGUAAUCAUAUAACUUAUGAUUUAUUGAAAUGUCUUAAAAUACACAUCAUUAACCAAACAAUAGGAAAAUACUUUAAAUAAGGAAGAGUUUGUGGUGGAUGCCUUGGGUCUGAAAGUCGAUGAAG
Molecule: unclassified non-coding RNA, 414 nt
Filed under: Mycoplasmopsis gallinarum
Lineage: Bacteria; Bacillati; Mycoplasmatota; Mycoplasmoidales; Metamycoplasmataceae
Description: Mycoplasma gallinarum partial contains 16S ribosomal RNA, 16S-23S ribosomal RNA intergenic spacer, and 23S ribosomal RNA
Rfam family: Bacterial small subunit ribosomal RNA (bases 1-55)
Source: RNAcentral